GGCUUUAUAGUGUAGUGGUUAUCACCCGAGAUUCUGAUUAGUCAGCGUUCUCGUGACCCAGGUUCGAGCCCUGGUAAGGCCU
Molecule: non-coding RNA, 82 nt
Organism: Ceratobasidium sp. AG-I
Lineage: Eukaryota; Fungi; Basidiomycota; Agaricomycetes; Cantharellales; Ceratobasidiaceae
Source: the annotation of a GenBank genome assembly